GCAGAGCUGUCCCCCACUCAUCCUAUUAGGCUUGGGCUGGCACUCAACUUCUCAGUAUUUUAUUACGAGAUCCUCAACUCUCCUGACCGUGCUUGCAAUCUUGCCAAGCAGGUUUGAUUUCUAGAUCCACUACAUGAACCGUGUACUGCUUUUCAUUGGUCAUUUCAAUCCUUAUGAAAAUACGAACUGAAUGCGAGCUAUGUGGAUUUAUGGGCCUGAGGAUAUUAUGCAUUUCACAGUUCAACACAACUGUUGUGAAUAAUUUGGGUUGAGUUUAAUCAAAACUAGUGCAAUACAUCAGGAAUUUGUUUAUAGACAAUAUGAGCAACUAAAGGUGUGGUAGAUCUGAACUAACGGUGAAGACAGGUGAUAGUGCAUCAUGAUCAACUAAAUGCCAUUUGUAAACUUCUUAAUACAUUUAAGCAAAAUUUAGAUCAAGUGGCUAAUGAUGAGCCAGAAGAAUAAGUGCAAGCAACUAACAAUGCAUUAUUCUGUUGAGUUAAUUUUCUUGAUCCAGUUAAGGUUUGCCAUUGGGUGGACCCUCCUUUCCCUCCUUAAUCUUCUUGAGAACUCGGGCCGUCCCUUUCCUAUUUAGUAGAGCUAUAUACCAGUCUUAAAUAUUCGUGGUCGCUUAUUCUGCCUUGAUUGCUCCAGGCUUUUGAUGAGGCAAUCUCAGAGCUGGACACCCUGAGUGAGGAAUCCUACAAGGACAGCACUCUGAUCAUGCAGCUUCUGCGUGAUAACUUGACCCUGUGGACUUCAGACAUCACGGUAUCUCCAUCCUAGCAUAUUUCCACUUAAGUCCUUUUUAUUUUCUGGAGUCAUCGUGUAUAUAUAUUCAAAUUCCAUUUGCUUGGCUCUAGGAGGAUGCUGCCGAUGACAUCAAGGAGGCUCCCAAGGGCGAGUCUGGAGAUGGGCAGUAAAGAUGAUCCAUGUGCCCAGAAACUACAUUUCAGUGUUCGUCUACUAGUGAAUCUGCCAAUGUGCUAUGGGUUCUUGUUUCGUUGGUAUAGGCUGUAUUGUUGCUUGUGAUAGCUGGAAAUUGGAGACUCCCAUUUGUGUCGUGCUUGAAAGGCUUGCGAGUAGCUUGCUGGUUGGCAGGUGUUGUCAAGCUACACUUGGUUGAGGGAGGGAACCUUUAUUUAUUUGGAUUAUUGGUGUU
This 1162-nucleotide long non-coding RNA is filed under the name Setaria viridis. Its description in RNAcentral is "long non-coding RNA (SVIR_LNC000955)". The record is from RNAcentral. Lineage: Eukaryota; Viridiplantae; Streptophyta; Magnoliopsida; Poales; Poaceae.